UACAGAGGGGGCAAGCGUUGUUCGGAAUUACUGGGCGUAAAGGGCGCGUAGGCGGCCUGCUAAGUCGAACGUGAAAUCCCUGGGCUCAACCCAGGAACUGCGUCCGAUACUGGUUGGCUUGAAUCCGGGAGAGGGAUGUGGAAUUCCAGGUGUAGCGGUGAAAUGCGUAGAUAUCUGGAGGAACACCGGCGGCGAAGGCGACAUCCUGGACCGGUAUUGACGCUGAGGCGCGAAAGCCAGGGGAGCAAACGGG
This 253-nucleotide ribosomal RNA is filed under the name uncultured bacterium. RNAcentral describes it as "partial 16S ribosomal RNA". It matches the Rfam family "Bacterial small subunit ribosomal RNA", at positions 524 to 776 of the family's 1533-position model. The record is from RNAcentral.